CAGCCGAGCGGUAGAGAUCUUUCGGGAUCUUGAGAGCGGCGUACGGGUGCGGAACACGUGUGCAACCUGCCUUUAUCUGGGGGAUAGCCUUUCGAAAGGAAGAUUAAUACCCCAUAAUAUAUUGAAUGGCAUCAUUUGAUAUUGAAAACUCCGGUGGAUAGAGAUGGGCACGCGCAAGAUUAGAUAGUUGGUGAGGUAACGGCUCACCAAGUCAGCGAUCUUUAGGGGGCCUGAGAGGGUGAUCCCCCACACUGGUACUGAGACACGGACCAGACUCCUACGGGAGGCAGCAGUGAGGAAUAUUGGACAAUGGGUGAGAGCCUGAUCCAGCCAUCCCGCGUGAAGGACGACGGCCCUAUGGGUUGUAAACUUCUUUUGUAUAGGGAUAAACCUACCCUCGUGAGGGUAGCUGAAGGUACUAUACGAAUAAGCACCGGCUAACUCCGUGCCAGCAGCCGCGGUAAUACGGAGGGUGCAAGCGUUAUCCGGAUUUAUUGGGUUUAAAGGGUCCGUAGGCUGAUUUGUAAGUCAGUGGUGAAAUCUCACAGCUUAACUGUGAAACUGCCAUUGAUACUGCAAGUCUUGAGUGUUGUUGAAGUAGCUGGAAUAAGUAGUGUAGCGGUGAAAUGCAUAGAUAUUACUUAGAACACCAAUUGCGAAGGCAGGUUACUAAGCAACAACUGACGCUGAUGGACGAAAGCGUGGGGAGCGAACAGGAUUAGAUACCCUGGUAGUCCACGCCGUAAACGAUGCUAACUCGUUUUUGGGCUUUUGGGUUCAGAGACUAAGCGAAAGUGAUAAGUUAGCCACCUGGGGAGUACGAACGCAAGUUUGAAACUCAAAGGAAUUGACGGGGGCCCGCACAAGCGGUGGAUUAUGUGGUUUAAUUCGAUGAUACGCGAGGAACCUUACCAAGGCUUAAAUGGGAAAUGACAGGCUUAGAAAUAGGCUUUUCUUCGGACAUUUUUCAAGGUGCUGCAUGGUUGUCGUCAGCUCGUGCCGUGAGGUGUUAGGUUAAGUCCUGCAACGAGCGCAACCCCUGUCACUAGUUGCCAUCAUUAAGUUGGGGACUCUAGUGAGACUGCCUACGCAAGUAGAGAGGAAGGUGGGGAUGACGUCAAAUCAUCACGGCCCUUACGCCUUGGGCCACACACGUAAUACAAUGGCCGGUACAGAGGGCAGCUACACUGCGAAGUGAUGCAAAUCUCGAAAGCCGGUCUCAGUUCGGAUUGGAGUCUGCAACUCGACUCUAUGAAGCUGGAAUCGCUAGUAAUCGCGCAUCAGCCAUGGCGCGGUGAAUACGUUCCCGGGC
This 1312-nucleotide ribosomal RNA is filed under the name Chryseobacterium sp. RNAcentral describes it as "bacterial SSU rRNA". It matches the Rfam family "Bacterial small subunit ribosomal RNA", at positions 59 to 1379 of the family's 1533-position model. The record is from RNAcentral. Lineage: Bacteria; Pseudomonadati; Bacteroidota; Flavobacteriia; Flavobacteriales; Weeksellaceae.